This 73-nucleotide transfer RNA is filed under the name Loxodonta africana (African savanna elephant). It matches the Rfam family "tRNA". Rfam says of the family: Transfer RNA (tRNA) molecules are approximately 80 nucleotides in length. Their secondary structure includes four short double-helical elements and three loops (D, anti-codon, and T loops). Lineage: Eukaryota; Metazoa; Chordata; Mammalia; Proboscidea; Elephantidae. The record is from Rfam by way of RNAcentral.
CCUUUGGUGAUGCAAAUGGUUAAUGUGCUCAGCUGCUAACUGAGAGGUUGGAGGUUCAAGUCUACCCAAAGGC